Molecule: non-coding RNA, 456 nt
Organism: Equus caballus (horse)
Lineage: Eukaryota; Metazoa; Chordata; Mammalia; Perissodactyla; Equidae
Source: RefSeq, a predicted model, not a curated record
CAACGCCCCCAUCGCCCCCACCGCUGCCGCCGCCUGGCUCAGGCCCUGGUGCUGGCCCUGCUGGCCGUGGCCUGCUGGAGGCCCCUCCUCCGCGGCGUCCUCCCCGCAGACUGCCCCCCGCCCUGUGUGAGCCCCCCGCGCCGGGGAAGCCCCCCUCACCACCCCAGGCCCAGCUGCUGGCUGCAACGCUGAGACGUGGCACUGGCAGAGCCCAUGUGCCCCUCGGUCUAGGGCCCUGUGGGCACCACUGCUGCGCUCCCGCGUCCAGACCGGCCCCCCAGGGGCCAGGACCUACCCCCAGCAGCCCCUGGCUGGGCCGUGUGGAACCCUGCAACCCGGCCUUGGCAGGUCCAGAACCCCCGGGAAGGUGAGGGGAGAACAAAGGAGACCAUCCAGGGCCUCGGCACUGUGUCUCACCUCAGAGUUUGCAAAUAAAGGUUAAAUAGGAGGUGCCAA